UUUAGCUUCAUACCACCUCAACGUCGCUGCCCUCCUCCUCCCCAAUCUUCUCAAUUCCAUCUUCCUCCUCUUUGACUCCAUUACUCGCAUUCUUCUCAACAUCCAGAGCUGUGUCUCCAUUGACUUCGGUGACAGCAAGGACUAAGAGAUCGAGGCCUUCGCAGCGGGAGGAUGAAUCGUUCGAAGAAGGGGAAUUCGAUGGAGGAGAUAGGGAAGGAGUGGGAGUAGCGGGGAGAGAAGAGGAGGAGUACAAAGGUGGAGUCUUUGAGCCUCGAAUUCUCAUUGGGAUCGACCUCGUUUGAUUCAAGGAAGGCUUAGUAGUAUAAUUACGAGUACAAGAGGGGGGGAUUUUGGGAACUGCGAGGAGUUGGGGGACUCGGAGGGAUUGGAGAAUGGAAGGGAGGAGAAUGGGAAUGGAAGGGACGAGAGGAUGGUGUAAAGAUAUAUUUAAGAAGUGUAUGCAAUAUU
RNAcentral lists this long non-coding RNA (468 nucleotides) under Elaeis guineensis (African oil palm). RNAcentral's name for it is "long non-coding RNA (EGUI_LNC008318)". The record is from RNAcentral. Lineage: Eukaryota; Viridiplantae; Streptophyta; Magnoliopsida; Arecales; Arecaceae.